Aphis gossypii (cotton aphid) is the source of this 549-nucleotide long non-coding RNA. RefSeq lists it as uncharacterized. Lineage: Eukaryota; Metazoa; Arthropoda; Insecta; Hemiptera; Aphididae. The record is from RefSeq and is a predicted model, not a curated record. The transcript is spliced from 3 exons.
AAAAUAUUAAAUAAUACAAAAUUAACGCGUGAUUCAAAAAAAUGAUGUAAAUUUGCUAUGCGACUUGUUUGUAAGACGGAUACUACAGUAUCAAUUACAUGUAACUGCAAAUGUGAGUGGUCAUCCUCUAAAUGACUGUCACAAUAUCUUUGUUCCCGUGCCUGCCUGUCCUUUUCAAGGGCUUCUUUCCGGCCCGCAAUCUCUUCAAUCAUGACGGAGAACUGCGUUCUUAAGUUACUCACAGCUUCCAGGUAUGACGCUUCCUGUCUAUCUCUUCUUGCAACUCGCUGCGGCAUGGCAUGAGCACAGGAAGUCAGACACAUCUUGUGGCCGAUAAUUUUACUAAGAAUUUUCUGGACUUAAGUUGGUUUAGUUUGGCCAGUGUGAUGUGUUUGAUGGUAAGUUUGUAUAAUUAUUUAUGGAAUUGAAUUAUGCUUUUUAAUCGUUUUCAUUUUCUCUCAUUCUGAUAGGGUGAUACCUACAAUUAUGUGUUAACAAUAAAUAGGUAAAAAUUUAGUAUGAGCAAAUAAAAUAUAAAUUGUAUCUGAA